This is a long non-coding RNA of Athene cunicularia (burrowing owl), 305 nucleotides long. RefSeq lists it as uncharacterized. The record is from RefSeq and is a predicted model, not a curated record. NCBI's taxonomy places the organism in Eukaryota, Metazoa, Chordata, Aves, Strigiformes, Strigidae. The transcript is spliced from 3 exons.
CUAUUGGAUGCCUCUGAGCAGUCUGCUCUCUUCAGAAAGGAUGUUGGUUUUUGCAUGCUACAGAGGAUUGCUUUGUCAGAUUUGGCACACGUCCACCUGGCUCUUUUCAGCAUGUCAAGAGAAAUUCACAAGCUCCCAGGUUCCCUAAAUACAUCCUUGGUCCAUCUUAAACCACUGGUAUACUUGGAGUUCCUUCACAUAAAUUCUACAGCAGCCUCAGAAAUUCUGAUUAUCAUGCAUCACCACUGCACACACCUAGAAGCACAGACCUGCAAGUCGUGACUCUUCCUGAGUAUUUCAUGGAG